RNAcentral lists this transfer RNA (70 nucleotides) under Marmota monax (woodchuck). RNAcentral describes it as "tRNA.Ala". Lineage: Eukaryota; Metazoa; Chordata; Mammalia; Rodentia; Sciuridae. The record is from RNAcentral.
UGGGGCAUAGCUCAGUGGUAGAGUAUUUACCUAGCAUGCACAAAGACUUGGGUUCAACCUCCAGCACCAA